RNAcentral lists this long non-coding RNA (5054 nucleotides) under Meleagris gallopavo (turkey). Its description in RNAcentral is "lncRNA (ENSMGAG00000018567.1)". Lineage: Eukaryota; Metazoa; Chordata; Aves; Galliformes; Phasianidae. The record is from RNAcentral.
CGCUUCUCUGCCUGUCGCUUCUCGCCUGCGCUUCUCUGCCUGCGCUUCUCAUCUCAGCGUUGUGUAAGGCCGAUCCACUAUCAAUUUCACAUUCUCUCUCCUUAUAAAAUUCUGUUGAUACCAUAUUUAGUAAAUUACUUUGUUUUACCUCAGAUUGUUGCCACUGUUUUCAAUUAUUUCGGGGUCCCUUAUUUCUUUUCCCGGGGGCGCGGAUCCGCGGAUCCCUCCGCCCUUCUAGUCACGGAACCGGGCCGAACCAGCCCGUAAACCGUUGACAGGAACCUAAACCUGGGGUAGGGAUCGCUCGUUCUUAACCUGGUGGCUUGAAGUCCAAAGGAUCUCAAGGACCAGCAAUGGGUCGCGUUUGCUCCACGGAGGCUCAAAGGCUGUGGCUGUUCUGCCUGUCAGCUCCAUCCCAACAGCAAUUUGUGGCUGGAGUCACAAUUCUGCACUGAUACGGAGAGUGGUCGUCAUGGACAGAGGGACGCUGAGCAGCUCCAUGGGGAUUGGGAUGCAAGCAGUGUGGAUGCAGUGCCUCUGCCUGCAGGAGAAGAAAAACUGGUGAGAGAGAAAAGGCUUGGUUUGGAUCCAAAGGCAGCCGGGCUGGAGCACGACCUGUGAUUCAGAUGUCACCUUUGCUGAGUGCUGAACGGGGUGAAGAGCCCCCUGUUCCUGCUGCAGGGAGCUUCCCACACCUGUAUCCUUCCAUCCUCCAUUACUUGCCCAAGUCUGGUGGGAUACCCUUCCCCCAGGUAGCAAACCUGAUAGAGCUACAGGGAGGACAGGGUCCCUGCAGUUUCUCUACCAGAAUUAAAAGGCACACGCAGAGCUGUAGCAGCAGGGUGAGGAGGAGAGCAGAGCAGAGGGAACAGAAGCACCAAGCCUUCGUUUCAUCCCACCUGCGCUGCGGUGCUGACUUGCCCCGAAGAGUCGCAGGAAAAUCCUGUGUAAAUGGAACAUAAAUGUUUUAUGAAUUCAACCCUGGUGGAGUAAAUUAAAGGGUCAUUAAUGGCCUCAUUAAAGAGCUUUGCACUUUGUUCUGAAUUAUGAAAGCUGUCGUGCAAUGUUCAACUAAAUGGAGUUUUCGUUGAGAUUUUGAAACUCUUUAACUAGUUUUCUCCCCCUCCUCCAUUCGUUUCUUCCCUUUUUUUUUUGUUGUUGAUGAGAAAUGUCUUUUGAGGGAGCCGCCUGUAGUGCUACAAACUAGAUUUCAAUUAUAAAUCUUCUUAUGCUCCACUAAUUGCCCAGAAUUUUUCUUGAGAGCUGCCUGAGGUUAAUGCUGAUGAAGAAAGAACCCUUUUGUCUUUUCUUGAACUGGGGCCUCCCUCACUGCUUCUGGCAAGACAUCAAGCUGGGAAUUACCUCCAGUGACACCCAGAUGGUACAUGGAAGGGACGACAGAUGAGUUGGUCGCAGCAGCUUCUUGGCUCACCGCGGGCUGGGGAGAAGCCUUCAGAUUCUCCAGGGCUGCCAGCUGACCCUGGCCCAGAAAAGUGUUAGAGUCCAUCUCCUCCAUUUCACUCUUCCGCUCCAAAAGAGUGGCAGUGCACUGGCACAGCUGCCCAGGGAGGUGGUGGAGUCGCUGUCCCCAGAGGUGUUCAAGAACCGUGGGGAUGUGGCACUGAGGGAUGUGGUCAGUGGACGUGGCAGGGGUGAGUCAACAGUUGGACUAGACAAUCUUAGGGAUCUUUUCCAGCAAAAACCUACCCCGUUAAUGCUCGUUUCUUUGACUUGUUGACUUGCCCUCUGCAAAUUCUUUGCACAGUGACACGACAAAUUAAACCCCUUAUUAACUAAUUAAGCUAUUUCUCCAACCAGGCAGGAAGGCGAGAGGAGGUUGUUAUUCUUUCUAUUUUUAAAUACCAGCAAGAGACACAUGUGUCUGAGAUGCGUGGUGGACGGCUCCAGCUGAGCUGUACCGCUGCAGCCUGACACCUCUACAACAAAACCCAUCAGGGCUGGAACUUGCUUGUUUUUCUGUUUAGUUUGUACAUCUGGGAGAAAUUUCGGUGUCCAGAAAGGCUUCCUGAACCUCUGGAUGUUGAAGAACCACGGAGAUGUGGCACUGAGGGAUAUGUGGUUAGUAGGCAUGGUGGGGAUGGGUCGACAGUUGGACUGGAUGAUCUUAGAGAUCUUUUUUAACCUUGAUUCUACGAUUCUUUAAUGGGCCUUGUAGCUCGGGGCAGGCACAGAGCUCAAUAGUGCAGCCUGCGAGCACACGUUUGCUUUGAAGUUGAUGAAGUUUUCUGUCAUUUUAGCAAAAUCAGAGCUGAGCAGCAACCUGCCCUAUACUAGGGAUGUCCUCUUCUGGCCUCCUUGCAGCUCCAUCAUCACUCUUGCUUCUGAGCACGGCACCAUGCACAGACCCGAACACGGGCAGGUGUGACCCUUCCUGGGUCUGUGGGCUGGAAGGGGCUCGGAGCUGUGAUGGUCCACACUUGCAGAGGGUUUGGGGUGAGUGCUGUGGUGGGAGUGCCUGCAGAGUGUGCUGUGGCUUCAGGGAUUGCUGUGUGGCUGGGAGCUGGGAUGGAGGGGUUUGUGAUUUUCCCAUGAGAAGUCCCUAGCUGGUGGCAUGGUGGAAGGGUGGAAGGGUUCUUGGGAGAACACAGCACGGCUGGUGCAGCCCUGGGUGUAGAGAGCGUCAUGUAUUUGUCCUGGUCUGCACAGAUAGGAGAUGAGAGGGCAAAGGGAGCCUGAAGGCUCCUUGGGCAGAGAGAUGGAUGCAGGCACACCUGGGGAACCCCAGAAAUGCUUUGCUGUGCUGUUUUCAGUGAAGUGACUGAUGGGGGCGGAUUGAGGGAGGAGGAUGGAUAUGGGUGGGGAGCAGAUUUAGGAAAUGAUUUCAUCAUUGAUUAAAUGUUCUACGUGCUGAGACUUUGCAGAGGUUGGGGAAAGAGCAGCGAGAGGAUGUCACCAAAAGAUCUCAUUGCCAGCUGAAGGGAAAAGAGAUGGAGCUUGUGAGGUCCUUGGCCAUGCAAAGCCACACUGGGAGAAUGUGGGUGCAGCAGGGACAGCAAAUCCCACCUCACCCAUGCCUGAAAAUCUUUCCCCUAUUUAAUGCAUUACUGCCUGCUUAUUCCUAUAACAAAUAACUGAGUCAGCGGGAGAAAACCAAAUGUAAUUUAUGUCUCAGUCCAAGCAAAUAGCAAAGGCUGCCAAAUCCGACAAUAAAAAAAAACCACAGUGAUCUCAGAUGUUUCUCUCCUCUAUAUUAAGAGGGAGCAGCACAGCGUUUGGCCGUGGUGCCGAUAUGGGGGGACAGGAGCAUGCAGGGGACAGCCUUGUGCAGCACUCUGUGCAGGGUGUGCUGAGGGAUAGAGGCCUGGGAAAGAACACCUCAGCUCUGCACUGCUCCCAGCCCAGCUGUAGGUGCAUAAUGGUACCAAAAAGGCGUUUUGCUGUGCAGUGGCACGGAGCUGAUGUCCCCACCACGUGCCUGUCCUGACAUAAGUGAUAUUGAACCCUUCUGGGUUUCCAGCAGUGCUUGUAGAUGGCUGAGAGGGAUUAAAGGAAAGGUACGUAGGCACUUUGAUUAACUGCUUUCCUAGAAGAAGGCAUUUAGUGAGCACAACUGAGCUAUAAAUACCCUAUAAUGUUGCUCUAAUACAUGAAACAAAAUAGUUGAUGUUGAGCUGGAAUGAGGUUGUAUUGUUUUCUCUGUUCAUCACUGAGCUGUGAAAUUCCAACUUUGUAGGGUGUGCAUUUGGUGCGUGCUGGGUCCAUGUAGAGAGCAGGGGAACAGGGUGCCCAGGGCCAGCUCUCCUUUAGAUGUGUGCUUCGUUCCCUUACUUGCUUUUUGGCCAUACAAACCACAGAACAGCAGAAGGGAGAGGAAAGAAACAUUUUUCCUGGUCUGUGCUAAGAACAAUUUGGUCUCGUUAUAAUCUGAUUUCACCUGUUACUAAUUUUCCUCUGGUUGUGAGGGCUUGGAAUUGUUUGUUUGGUAAAUGAAGAGGGAAGAAGAGCUGUUGGAUGUUGUUCAGUGUGAGGUAAUGAUGGUGAGGGCACUCCAGGUGACAUGAGUGGUGCUGGGGGUGGGAGAAAACUCUGACCCCAUGCAGUGCCCUAUGGGGUUCAGAAUGGGGCAGAGGGCAUCCCCAUUGCCUCCCAUCCCUGCAGCGUGAGUGGGACUCCUUACUCCUUUAUGGAGCUGUGGUGGGGAAAUAGGAAAGCACAGAUGUAUGGGGAAUUCCCAACACGAUGCCAAGUCCCCACCCUCCAGAUCAGUUUGCAUCCCCCCAUUGCUAUCCUUCUUAGUGUAGUAGUCCCGUUGCUGUGACAAAUAGUUUGGGUGAUGUGAGCUGCUGAAAAGAAAUGACUUUAUUAGGCGAAAACAGCCUGUGAACCUCCUGGAACAAGCAGACUGUUUAAGUGACUCCAGAUUGCACGGGAAGGCGGCUGCUCCCCUAAAUCCCACAGCGUGCCUCAGCCGGGCUGCAGCAUUGCAUGGCACAGAGCAUCGCCCUGCACGGCACAGCUACUGCCUGAGGAUGGAGCAAGUGUGAAUAAAUCCUCAGCGCCAGAGCUGUUUUAGCAUGCCUCUAAUUGGAGCCAUAAAGUUAAACCUGGCCACUUAGGGUUCUGCUGGGAACUGGGGCUUCCAUUUGCAGGCUCCCCCGUGCAGCUAAAGGGCACCGUGCUUGCUAAUAGGCGUUAAAUUGGAGCAUCACUUUUUAAUAAGCCUCCUAAUGGCAUGAUGCAGCUCCUUGGCAGCUCUGGGCUGCCUCCAUUACGGUACCCACAUGCUGGGGUGAGUGAUGGAAGGUGGAGGUGGUGCCAGGUACCAGAAGGUUGGAGAUGCACAGAGCCAAGGAUGCACCCAGCUCCUGUGCUCCCCUGUGUACUCCAUCAACUUCGUUGUCAGGACUGCCCCUACCAUCAGACCAACCUCAUCAUUGGGACCAUCCUCUCUGCGAUGGCGAUGUUCCUCCUGUGUGCAUCACCAUCCCUGCUCUUGGGCUGUCAGAGCAAUUCCAGAUUUUGCCUUUCUCCUGCUUGAGACUGAGCAGGAUUUGAAGUGGUGCCCGACUGAGCUCAGCCCUGUCCCUGGCUGC